This 326-nucleotide ribosomal RNA is filed under the name uncultured bacterium. RNAcentral's name for it is "bacterial SSU rRNA". It matches the Rfam family "Bacterial small subunit ribosomal RNA", at positions 46 to 383 of the family's 1533-position model. The record is from RNAcentral.
UAGGCCUAACACAUGCAAGUCGAGCGGGGUUUUCGGACCUAGCGGCGGACGGGUGAGUAAUGCGUAGGAAGCUACCCGAUAGAGGGGGAUACCAGUUGGAAACGACUGUUAAUACCGCAUAAUGUCUACGGACCAAAGUGUGGGACCUUCGGGCCACAUGCUAUCGGAUGCGCCUACGUGGGAUUAGCUAGUUGGUGAGGUAAUGGCUCACCAAGGCGACGAUCUCUAGCUGGUUUGAGAGGAUGAUCAGCCACACUGGAAGUGAGACACGGUCCAGACUCCUACGGGAGGCAGCAGUGGGGAAUAUUGGACAAUGGGCGCAAGCC